This is a long non-coding RNA of Musa acuminata AAA Group (dessert banana), 251 nucleotides long. RefSeq lists it as uncharacterized. The transcript has 2 exons. The record is from RefSeq and is a predicted model, not a curated record. Lineage: Eukaryota; Viridiplantae; Streptophyta; Magnoliopsida; Zingiberales; Musaceae.
CCUGGACACUCACUCAAAAAUCUAGGGUUUCCAUCGGCACCGCAGACGGCUGAGAUUUCGGAUCGAGGGUUCUAUUUCAUCGAUUACGAAAAGGCUUUGCAAUGAUGAAAUCUUGAAAAAGGAUGAUGAGUGAUUGGAGCGUCGUCUCCAGUGUGAUAUCUCUUAAAACUGCAAAGGAUUUCUGAGCAAAGAUUGUAGCUCUAAUUAUUAGAAGAAAAACGAAGAGCUUUACAGAUCUGACGUUUUUUGUC